Molecule: non-coding RNA, 1883 nt
Organism: Misgurnus anguillicaudatus (oriental weatherfish)
Lineage: Eukaryota; Metazoa; Chordata; Actinopteri; Cypriniformes; Cobitidae
Source: RefSeq, a predicted model, not a curated record
UAAGUGAUGUUUAAAAGUGUUAUGGGGUAAUAUAAUCUUUCCUCUUGAAAAAUAAGUUUGUGAUCGAUAUGAAAAUGUAAGGAAGUUUUCUAUCACAUGUACGCACUUGCAGAUUGUAAUGCACGCGUUUAAAUAUGUAUUUCAAAAUUGUAAUUUCAUUUCUGUUUAUUGUAUUUCAGUUUUACAAAUAAGAAAAAGGAUCACAGAAGUAAACAUUCUGGAAAGGAUAAACUGCUUCAUGUGUGUUUGUUUGUUAGCUAGCUGUCUAGUUUCUUUAAAGUGAAGCAGUUGCAAGGACAGAAUAGUAAAAAGGCAGCAACGCAUCGGGAAAGAUUAAAAAGAGGUUUAUUUAACAUCGUAUGCUGCACAAUUCUGAGAUUAAAAAGUGAAAGAAAGCACUUUGCAUGAAAGCAAGAUGGAUCCAGAUAAGGAUGCUAAAAAAGGCCCAGCAAGCUUCUGAGAGGCGAUCUCAAGUUUCUGGCUCCAGAUACACUGAAAAAAGUGCACAACGCAUGUCAUUACUCUAAAGAAGUUUUUAUAUUUGAUCUAACUCAAAAAAAUUAAUUUUCUGUCCAGCCAUCAGUUUAAUGUAAAAAAUGUGUUUGAUUUAAAUUAAAAGUAAGUCUUAUUGGUGUAAAGUAAAUACAUUUCUGUAAAUUAAAUUAAAAAUAUUAGUUUCCAUUGUCACGUGACUUCUAAUGUCAUCCAUGGGCAUGCGUAAGGACGUUCAGCUCAGGUUGAGCUUUCCGCCAUCUUGUUAUACACUACAUCGAUGGAUGAUCUCCGCGUGGUACAACGGGAUUCAAGAAAAUUGGCCAAUCAUAUCCCAUCCCUGGAGAGACAUCAGCAAACAUUAUGACAAAGACGUUUGCCUUACGCAGACAAGGGCUUGUGGAAAACCAACCUACUGUUCAAGAACUGCUAGAAAUAUUGCCAGCUCUGUUUCUACAAGAGGAGAUUAAUGCCGAAUUGCGCAUCACAAUCUUAACUUGAAAAUCAAGAUUUAUGGCCUCUUUGGACAGACAGAGCUCUCAUGUUAUUAGGAGCAAAGGUGGAGUCCUCCAUGAAAAACUAAGGACACUAUUAAAGUUAUGGAUCAGAGUCUGGACAUAGACAUCAGAAGAGAAAGCCUGCUGAAGUGCCUGAUUCAUGUACUUUGGUGAAGAUGCAAGCUGUAUGAUCAAAGAAUACCAGGCUGACCAGAGGGAAGAAGCGGAGAGAGAAUUCAAAAAGACCAACAUGGAAUUUUUUUGUGAUCCGUGAAAGUGAUGCUCUUAAUCAUGCACUGGACAUUUCCAUUUUCAUUGACGGUGUGGAGUAAUAAAUGAGUUGCCCUCUGUUGCAUGUGCAUGUUUUGACUCAUUUGAACUGAACUUAAAAUAUCCUGAUGGACUCAAAUAUACCUUUUUAAGGCCUUUCAAAAAAAUGUUCAUGGACAUAGACAGUAAGCAGAUGAGCCGAAGGGUGCAGAACCCCUCUUCAAAACUGCAGGAGUACAUUUUUUUCCUUUGACCCAGCUACUGAAGGUACAUUUUUUGAGCCUUUUAUACAACAUUAACUGUAAUACUGUUUACUAAACCUGAUUUGUUUUAUCUUGGUUAAGUUCUAUGGUUUAUCUAUCAACCAUAACUGAUUCUUAUGAUGAAUUUACAUUGUAUCCAGUGUGUCUACAAAUACUAAAAACUGUUAUACAGUAUGUGUUUUUAUAACAAUACUAUACACAUUGUUGAAAUGUUUUAUGACAAAUUGUCAAGAUUAUAAUGUGUUUACAUUGUUAGACAGUGUGUAUUUGUACAAAAAUGUGUAUUAUGACAAAAUAAAUUGUCAAAUGUUUGAUGCUUGAAGUCAUUCAUCUUAGACAGAUGGUAAAAUUACACAUUCUG